RNAcentral lists this long non-coding RNA (356 nucleotides) under Anser brachyrhynchus (Pink-footed goose). RNAcentral describes it as "lncRNA (ENSABRG00000004143.1)". Lineage: Eukaryota; Metazoa; Chordata; Aves; Anseriformes; Anatidae. The record is from RNAcentral.
CUCACCUUCAGCUUUUGUUGUUGUUGUUGUUUUUUUCUGGUAAGAAGAGCUUUAAACUAAGAAAUGAUGGAGCAAGUCUGGAAGUGUUUUUCCUAUAUGCAAUUAUGAGCAGACUGCAAGAAGAAAGCAAGGCAAAGGAAGAUGCAUCAAUCGAAAAAAACAAUGUCAGUGGUAGGAAGAAUACCCAGCCAAGAGAUGAAGAGUACAAGUAUUUAUGACAACGCUGUGAGGUCUCCAGAUGAGAAUGGUAAACUCCAGAAAAGCCUAUUGACUCUGCAAAACAGAACCUGACCAGCUUAGGAAAGGUAAUGUAGGAUGUGAUGACUCAUCUUUGACAACUAUUAAUUUAUACUAGG